UCUGCGCCGUCUGCCUUUCCUUCAGCCUUCUUCUUGUAUUUUCACUCACGCCCUGCCCCUGCCUUCUUCUUCUUCAAUCUUCACGCCCAGGACGUCGUGCCUUCUUCUUCUUCUUUAAUCUUCACGCCGUCGUCGCCUGCCUUCUUCUUCUUCACACCAUCUGACGCGUCAUCACCGUCCAAUCCACUGCACACCCACGACUCCACCAGCACACAUGUCUUCUUCUUCGGCCUUACACGUUUUUAGAUCUGGUGAUUUCUGAAGCAAACGGAGCAAAAGAAGGAGGCGGUUAGUUUCGGUGCAUACCGAGUACAUGGAGGUGUUGAAAUGGAAAACCUUGAAUGUCACACGCACAUUGAUCGGCGACCCACGAAGAGGGCGCAUAUGGGCUGGGACGUUCUUCCUCAGAUCCCAAAGUGCAACAUGAAUAUUCCUCAAGCUAUCCUGGGUAUGGAUGUCAUUUGACAAGAGAAGUCUAGAAUGGGUAAAACUGCUGUUUUUGUUCUUUUAACAUUGCAACAAAUUAAACCUGUUGCUGGACAAGUUUCUGCAAUUGUGCUGUGUCAUACAAGGGAGUUAGCUUACCAGAUUUGCCAUGAGUUCGAGAGGCUCAUAGUUUUAUGCAUAGUUUUAUCAGAUCCAAAUCUGAUGAUAUCAAUUUUAUCAGAUCCAAAUCAGUAAUUGUAAAAAAUCUGGAACAAGUUGAGAUUUUAUUUGGCCUUUUGUACAUUAUAAAUCUGGGAAUCAUCUUAUUCAUCUACACGAAGACUGAUGUGAGGAAUGGUGGGGAGGAAGUCAUUCAGGAGGAAUGGGGAGGAAGUCAUUCAGCUGGGCCGGUCUAGGAAAAGGAAGAAAUCUAAUAGAAAGAAUAAUUGGGCUAAACGUAGAUCAUAGUCCAACUGAGCAGCAGCCAAGCUAAGUGAAUGCAGGGUGGCAAGGGGGAAGUGCAACCCUUUAGAGUUGAGAUUACAUUGUUUUAAAUUGUAAUUUGUGUUGUAUUUUAGUUAUUUAUGUAAAUUUUAUUUUUUAGUUUAGUUACAAUUAUGCUUAUUUCAUUUUUUUGUAUUUUUUUUUCUUGUAAUUCAAGAUUUAUUUUUUGAAAGUUUCUUGUAAUAUUGUGAAUUUUUUGUGCCUGAAACAAGUUAUUUAGUAUUUUUAGAAUAAAGUUUGUAUUUAAUAA
Long non-coding RNA from Alnus glutinosa, 1180 nucleotides. RefSeq lists it as uncharacterized. The record is from RefSeq and is a predicted model, not a curated record. NCBI's taxonomy places the organism in Eukaryota, Viridiplantae, Streptophyta, Magnoliopsida, Fagales, Betulaceae. The transcript is spliced from 8 exons.